Molecule: long non-coding RNA, 641 nt
Organism: Syzygium oleosum
Lineage: Eukaryota; Viridiplantae; Streptophyta; Magnoliopsida; Myrtales; Myrtaceae
Exons: 2
Source: RefSeq, a predicted model, not a curated record
UCAGCCUCAACACCACUAAAUCGAUGUAACUAUGACACCGACAUUUCAUCUAAAAUCAGGCUAAUACAGCUCAGGCUUCCAUACUCCCGCGUAAAGAAACUUACGUUUGCUGAGAUCACAUCAAUUUUGAUAAGCAGCAUAGAACCAGAUAUCGCUUGUCUUCUAGCAAAAAGAGUAUGCCGAUUGACAUCCAAGAAAGUUUCAUUAAAACACACGAUGAAGUUAUUACUAGGGCAAAAAGGGUCCAUGAUCUGUCAUUAGCUCAACAGGCACAAACUCGCAGUAAUUCAGACAGGGAAAUACGAUACAAUAACCCACAUACCGUACUUAGAUGCACGAUAAUACAUUAUCACAUGCAAACAUGCGCUUUAGCUUUAUCAUCAAAAAGCUUCAAUUGGCAGACUGUCGCAGCUCAGGUCGGACAAAGUUUGCAUCUGCAGACACGGAGAUAUCAACGGUAGGUCUCAACUGUGAGCAAACUUCAAUUGCUCCAUGCACCGGAUCUGACAAGAAGUUGCUGAUGAGGUCCCGGUUAAUUGGGGUACCAUUGUCCACAGCAACUAAAGCUUGUUGAGUCAGGAUGUAAUCAAAUCGGGGAGCCCACUUCCUUGACCCAAGACGAGCUGUGGUCGAACAAUUGU